RNAcentral lists this ribosomal RNA (254 nucleotides) under uncultured bacterium. Its description in RNAcentral is "partial 16S ribosomal RNA". It matches the Rfam family "Bacterial small subunit ribosomal RNA", at positions 524 to 776 of the family's 1533-position model. The record is from RNAcentral.
CACGUAGGGGGCAAGCGUUGUCCGGAUUUAUUGGGCGUAAAGAGCUCGUAGGCGGUUUCGUGAGUCGGGUGUGAAAACUCUAGGCUCAACCUAGAGACGCCACCCGAUACUGCGAUGACUAGAGUCCGGUAGGGGAGUGUGGAAUUCCUGGUGUAGCGGUGAAAUGCGCAGAUAUCAGGAGGAACACCAACGGCGAAGGCAGCACUCUGGGCCGGAACUGACGCUGAGGAGCGAAAGCGUGGGUAGCGAACAGG